RNAcentral lists this ribosomal RNA (253 nucleotides) under uncultured bacterium. Its description in RNAcentral is "partial 16S ribosomal RNA". It matches the Rfam family "Bacterial small subunit ribosomal RNA", at positions 524 to 776 of the family's 1533-position model. The record is from RNAcentral.
UACGUAGGCAGCAAGCGUUGUUCGGAUUCACUGGGCGUAAAGGGUGCGUAGGUGGUGAGGUAAGUCGGAUGUGAAAGCUCGGAGCUCAACUCCGAAAUGGCAUUGGAAACUACCUCGCUAGAGGAUCGGAGGGGAGACUGGGAUUCUCGGUGUAGCAGUGAAAUGCGUAGAUAUCGAGAGGAACACCAGUGGCGAAGGCGAGUCUCUGGACGAUUCCUGACGCUGAGGCACGAAAGCCAGGGGAGCAAACGGG